CGACUGUGGCGGCGAAUUAGUGAGGUUGUGGUGCGACGUGAACAGAUGGCGAAAUUACUUAAGACGAGGAAGUUAUUGACUUACUAAUAUACGUUUUGGUGGCUUCUGCCCAUUAUUUAGGCAAAUGUCCGGCUUCAUUGAGGAAAAAACCUGCAUGUUACCACGCAUAGCGCUCAUAGCGUGUGGAUGCUUUAGCCCUCCAACGCCUAUGCAUUUGCGCUUGUUCGAGAUAGCACGAGAUUACUUUGAACUUCGUGGUACACACAAGGUUGUGGGUGGCAUUAUAUCACCCACACAUGAUUCCUAUGGCAAGAAGGGACUGGCGCCUUCGAUAGAUCGCUGCGCGAUGAUAAAGCUUGCGGUUCAGACCUCCACCUGGAUACGUUUAUCAGACUGGGAGGUACACCAGCCGCAAUGGAUGCGCACACAAUCCGUGCUGCAGCAUCACCAGAACUACCUAAAUAACUAUAUCAACUCGCCGGGGGAUGAGGAGCAAAAUGGUCUACUACCUGGUUGGUUGCCACUUGGUCUUCGGGAACGUCGUGAUCCCAUAAGUCUAAAGCUGUUAUGUGGCGCCGAUUUACUAGAAUCGUUUGCAGUGCCCGGCUUGUGGGCCAAUGAGGAUAUUGAAGAAAUAGUGGCGAACCAUGGACUAGUUGUCAUAUCCCGCUGUGGCUCAAAUCCUGAAAAAUUUAUAUUUGAAUCGGAUAUUCUAACCAAAUAUCAGCGCAACAUAACGCUUAUUACAAACUGGGUGCCCAACGAAGUCAGCUCUUCUCUGGUGCGUCGUCUCCUAAAUCGCGGUGAAUCGGUCAAGUAUCUUCUAGAUGACCUGGUGCUCAGUUAUAUAAACCGUCAGGGGUUGUACAAUGUGAAAUCGCAGGAUACUCCGCCUGAGGGCAAAGCAUGACGCUGUCUGCACUGCACCUUGCACCAUUUAGAAAUAGCACCAACAGAUCGACAAACGCAGGAGCACCACCAACAUCAACACCACCAUCAGCAAAAAUAUUACCACUAUCAGCAAUCAACUCAAGAUCUACUCGUGCAGUGGCGCCUGUUCAUGGAGUUGUACGUAUCAGCUUAGGUUGCACCCAAUUUCUUUUAAAGAAUAACCCAUUCAUAUAACACACUAUAACUUGUUGUUGUUGUUGUUGUAUUGACACGCAUACAUUUAUGAUGGAUUGUAAAUUCAGUGAAAUUGGACAAUGAUCAAUCGGAACAGCUAAUGGAUGAGUCGGACAGUCCGCUUAGGCAG
RNAcentral lists this unclassified non-coding RNA (1255 nucleotides) under Drosophila virilis. Its description in RNAcentral is "GJ24340". The record is from RNAcentral. Lineage: Eukaryota; Metazoa; Arthropoda; Insecta; Diptera; Drosophilidae.